CUUUUCCAGACUGGAUACUUGAAUCUCACUUCCCCAAAGAUCUUUAUAUUUGCGAGUGCCUUGAAUCACCGUACUUGCAAGAAAGGAUGCAUAACCUCACCUCUUUACAACGAAUGAUAGUGGAAUCUUGCCCUAAUCUGAGUUCUUCUAGACAUUCUCUCAAAACACUUCUAAGUCGGGGGUGCCCUGAUUUAUACUCCUGGAGAAUGACGCAUUCUUGGUCCUCUUUAGAAGAAUUGAAUGUUCAAAAUUGCCCUAAUCUAAGGAAAUUGUUGGAUCGCAUACCAUUUUUAAUCCCUUGCCUCAAAACACUUAAGAUUUGUAAGUGCCCUGAAUUACAAGAAUUGCAAAGGAUGGAUCGCCUUACCUCUUUACAAGUAUUGUCAAUCAGUGAAUGUCCAAAAUUGUCGGAAAGAUGUGAAAAGGAAACCGGAAUCCUGUGGCAUCACAUUGCUCACAUCCCAUCUAUUAUAAUUGAUGGGCAACAGAUUCAAUGAUGAUCAUACAAUAUAUAGGGGGAUGAUGACAUGUUUUCAUUAUUUGAAGCAGGACGAUUCAUCUUGCUAAUUUCCUUCCAGAGCAGACAGUUGUUGAAUUGAAACCAAGAGAAAUUUCUAUUGGAUUAUGGACUUUUUCUGAUAGUUUUAGAGAGAACAUACGGUUUUCAACGUGCCGAUGCCAUUGUGAAGUAGAGUUCUAGAAUCGGUGGAUCGGAGGCUUUACUCUCAACAGUGUCAUCACUAUCUAUCUUGACCUCUGGUUUCUUUCUAGGUAAAAAAGACUGCACAACAUGCAACUCUUUCACCUUCUUUUCUCAAGAAGUGAACCUUGGUCUAAUGAUCUUGAAUUCGGUUAAUUGGGUUUUCAUUUAUUGCUUGUUAUAUAUGAGGAAUGUGCUUUGUAUAGAAUCCUCAAUAUUUUUGCAUUGCUCUAACAUUUAAGAUUUUUGUUUUCCAUAGAGAAAGAAGAGAUGCCAAUGACUUGCCUGCCAACUCCCUUCCAGCCAUUUUUGAAAUGCAGUUAGCUGUGAAUGGAGUCAACCAACACUUGCUAAGUAGUGGUUCGAGUGAUUGGGAAAACUGCCUGGAGAGCUGAGCUGGUUGGAAAACCCUUUUGCUUCUUUCAAAAUCAAUGUCAAAGUUCCAUCUUGGCCAUUCUUGGAGGUCUUUGAGCAGUGGCUUGAAUUCUAGUCUUUAGGCCUUUACUUAAUUAACCCAAACCGUUAAAGGGACCUAAACACAAAGGUUCUUUCAUAAUGUAGAUAUGGAGAAGACUUUUGGGAUACUACUAUGGGAUUUAAUAUUUGCCACGUUUGGGUGCUGCAACUACUGUAACCUCCUGCAUCAUAGUAAAAUCUCUUUCACCUUCGACCGUGGAUGUAGGUUAUUAAGCCGAACCACGUAAUUUUUCGUGUGUUUUAUUAUGUUAGAUUGUUUGCUUGUUAUUUAUCAUAAAAUUUGGUUCCACAUCUAUA
Theobroma cacao (cacao) is the source of this 1474-nucleotide non-coding RNA. The record is from RefSeq and is a predicted model, not a curated record. NCBI's taxonomy places the organism in Eukaryota, Viridiplantae, Streptophyta, Magnoliopsida, Malvales, Malvaceae.